RNAcentral lists this long non-coding RNA (323 nucleotides) under Gossypium raimondii (Peruvian cotton). RNAcentral's name for it is "long non-coding RNA (GRAI_LNC001368)". Lineage: Eukaryota; Viridiplantae; Streptophyta; Magnoliopsida; Malvales; Malvaceae. The record is from RNAcentral.
GGGUCCUGUGUUUGAAUCCCGAUGAAAGCGUGGUUGAUAUUUUUGCUUGGUUGUCUGAUAGAGUUUUGGUUGAGUUAAAAUUUUGAGGGAGUUAUGAGUAGUGGGUUUGUGGGAGAUAAUUAAGGGAUUAUGUUGGUAUAUCUUCUUAUUUUCUUUUAUUUUUUUUGAAUUUUAAUUAGUUUCUCUCUUCUACCAAAAUUAACGUAAGUUCUUGUUCCCUCUCUACAUUUCUGUUAUUUUUAUUUUUAUUCUUCCUCUUUCUGGCGUAAUCCCUGUUCCUCCGUUCCUUUCAAUUUGCUUGUUCACUAUUAUUAUUCUUCGUG